This 325-nucleotide long non-coding RNA is filed under the name Prunus dulcis (almond). RNAcentral's name for it is "sRNA ncRNA". The record is from RNAcentral. Lineage: Eukaryota; Viridiplantae; Streptophyta; Magnoliopsida; Rosales; Rosaceae.
AUGCCCAGCUUUUGUGUGUGGGUGAUAUGCGAAGCACGUUCACGUGUACAAACAGGGAAGUUUUCCCUUUCAACGGUCUACACUUUGCCAAAGAGACAAGCAGAAGUUUGUACCACGACGAGAGCAACUUUCCUCCGCUACGUUGUUGUUGUUGUUGUUUCCCUUUUUUUUAUUGCGGCUGUCAAUAGCAUUAUCAAUACAAAAUCCGUCCUCGAUUAUAUGUGUGCCAAAGUGGAAUACAGAGAAAGAAAACAAAGAGGAAGUGAGUGCGGAAGCAGAAGAACAAAACAUCAGAAUCGAUCCAUGACGAAUGAUACCAUGUUAA